GACGAACGCUGGCGGCGUGCCUAAUACAUGCAAGUCGAACGCAUUUUCUUUCACCGUAGCUUGCUACACCGAAAGAAAAUGAGUGGCGAACGGGUGAGUAACACGUGGGUAACCUGCCCAUCAGCGGGGGAUAACACUUGGAAACAGGUGCUAAUACCGCAUAAUUCCAUUUACCGCAUGGUAAAUGGAUGAAAGGCGCUUUUGCGUCACUGAUGGAUGGACCCGCGGUGCAUUAGCUAGUUGGUGGGGUAACGGCCUACCAAGGCUGCGAUGCAUAGCCGACCUGAGAGGGUGAUCGGCCACACUGGGACUGAGACACGGCCCAGACUCCUACGGGAGGCAGCAGUAGGGAAUCUUCGGCAAUGGACGCAAGUCUGACCGAGCAACGCCGCGUGAGUGGAGAAGGUUUUCGGAUUGUAAAACUCUGUUGUUAGAGAAGAACAAGGAUGAGAGUGGAAAGUUCAUCCCUUGACGGUAUCUAACCAGAAAGCCACGGCUAACUACGUG
RNAcentral lists this ribosomal RNA (507 nucleotides) under uncultured bacterium. RNAcentral describes it as "partial 16S ribosomal RNA". It matches the Rfam family "Bacterial small subunit ribosomal RNA", at positions 28 to 507 of the family's 1533-position model. The record is from RNAcentral.